CCUACGGGAGGCAGCAGUGGGGAAUUUUGGACAAUGGACGCAAGUCUGAUCCAGCCAUGCCGCGUGUGGGAAGAAGGCCUUCGGGUUGUAAACCACUUUUGUCAGGGAAGAAACGGUCUAGGUUAAUACCUUGGGCUAAUGACGGUACCUGAAGAAUAAGCACCGGCUAACUACGUGCCAGCAGCCGCGGUAAUACGUAGGGUGCAAGCGUUAAUCGGAAUUACUGGGCGUAAAGCGUGCGCAGGCGGUUAUGCAAGACAGAUGUGAAAUCCCCGGGCUCAACCUGGGAACUGCAUUUGUGACUGCAUGGCUAGAGUACGGUAGAGGGGGAUGGAAUUCCGCGUGUAGCAGUGAAAUGCGUAGAUAUGCGGAGGAACACCGAUGGCGAAGGCAAUCCCCUGGACCUGUACUGACGCUCAUGCACGAAAGCGUGGGGAGCAAACAGGAUUAGAUACCCUGGUAGUCCACGCCCUAAACGAUGUCAACUGGUUNUUGGGAGGGUUUCUUCUCAGUACGUAGCUAACGCGUGAAGUUGACCGCCUGGGGAGUCGGCGCAAGGUUGAACUUAAGGAAUUGACGGNUGNGAGNGCGAGAGACGACGAGGAGAGG
Molecule: ribosomal RNA, 609 nt
Filed under: uncultured bacterium
Lineage: Bacteria
Description: bacterial SSU rRNA
Rfam family: Bacterial small subunit ribosomal RNA
Source: RNAcentral